GACGAACGCUGGCGGCGUGCUUAACACAUGCAAGUCGAGCGGAAAGGCCCUUCGGGGUACUCGAGCGGCGAACGGGUGAGUAACACGUGAGUAACCUGCCCCGAUGACCGGGACGAACCCGAGGAAACGUCGGGCGUAAUACCGGAUGUGGUACAUGGACUUAAGCCUGUGUACUAAAGGAAGCUUCGGCCUCCGCAUUGGGAGGGGCUCGCGGCCCAUUAGCUUGUUGGUGGGUAACGGCCUACCAAGGCAACGAUGGUAGCUGGUCUGAGAGGACGAUCAGCCACACUGGGACUGAGACACGGCCCAGACUCCUACGGGAGGCAGCAGGUGGGGAAUCUUGCGCAAUGCGCGAAAGCGUGACGCAGCAACGCCGCGUGGGGAA
This 385-nucleotide ribosomal RNA is filed under the name uncultured bacterium. RNAcentral's name for it is "bacterial SSU rRNA". It matches the Rfam family "Bacterial small subunit ribosomal RNA", at positions 28 to 408 of the family's 1533-position model. The record is from RNAcentral.